GAUGAAGCCCAGCUUGCUGGGUGGAUUAGUGGCGAACGGGUGAGUAACACGUGAGUAACCUGCCCUUAACUCUGGGAUAAGCCUGGGAAACUGGGUCUAAUACCGGAUAGGAGCGCUACCGCAUGGUGGGUGUUGGAAAGAUUUAUCGGUUUUGGAUGGACUCGCGGCCUAUCAGCUUGUUGGUGAGGUAAUGGCUCACCAAGGCGACGACGGGUAGCCGGCCUGAGAGGGUGACCGGCCACACUGGGACUGAGACACGGCCCAGACUCCUACGGGAGGCAGCAGUGGGGAAUAUUGCACAAUGGGCGCAAGCCUGAUGCAGCGACGCCGCGUGAGGGAUGACGGCCUUCGGGUUGUAAACCUCUUUCAGUAGGGAAGAAGCGAAAGUGACGGUACCUGCAGAAGAAGCACCGGCUAACUACGUGCCAGCAGCCGCGGUAAUACGUAGGGUGCGAGCGUUAUCCGGAAUUAUUGGGCGUAAAGAGCUCGUAGGCGGUUUGUCGCGUCUGUCGUGAAAGUCCGGGGCUUAACCCCGGAUCUGCGGUGGGUACGGGCAGACUAAGUGCAGUAGGGGAGACUGGAAUUCCUGGUGUAGCGGUGGAAUGCGCAGAUAUCAGGAGGAACACCGAUGGCGAAGGCAGGUCUCUGGGCUGUAACUGACGCUGAGGAGCGAAAGCAUGGGGAGCGAACAGGAUUAGAUACCCUGGUAGUCCAUGCCGUAAACGUUGGGCACUAGUGUGGGGACCAUUCCACGGGUUUCCGCGCCGCAGCUAACGCAUUAAGUGCCCGCCUGGGGAGUACGGCGCAAGGCUAAAACUCAAGGAAUUGACGGGGGGCCCGCACA
Molecule: ribosomal RNA, 844 nt
Filed under: Micrococcus luteus
Lineage: Bacteria; Bacillati; Actinomycetota; Actinomycetes; Micrococcales; Micrococcaceae
Description: bacterial SSU rRNA
Rfam family: Bacterial small subunit ribosomal RNA
Source: RNAcentral